CCAAUAGCGUAUAUUAAAGUUGUUGCAGUUAAAAAGCUCGUAGUUGAAUUUCGGGAUUGACACAUCGGUCGUGCCUUAAGGGGUAUGAACUGGUGUAGUCAAUUUCUCACCUUCUGGAGAACCGCGAUGCCCUUAAUUGGGUGUCGUGGGGAACCAGGACCUUUACUUUGAAAAAAUUAGAGUGUUUAAAGCAGGCAUUU
This 200-nucleotide ribosomal RNA is filed under the name uncultured Glomus. RNAcentral's name for it is "partial small subunit ribosomal RNA". It matches the Rfam family "Eukaryotic small subunit ribosomal RNA", at positions 591 to 789 of the family's 1831-position model. The record is from RNAcentral. RNAcentral also lists the same sequence under 1 other name. Lineage: Eukaryota; Fungi; Glomeromycota; Glomeromycetes; Glomerales; Glomeraceae.